CAAAGGUGAGCCAGUACAGGAUGGACCCGCGUCUGAUUAGCUAGUUGGUAAGGCAACGGCUUACCAAGGCGACGAUCAGUAGCCGACCUGAGAGGGUGAUCGGCCACAUUGGAACUGAGACACGGUCCAAACUCCUACGGGAGGCAGCAGUGGGGAAUAUUGCACAAUGGGCGAAAGCCUGAUGCAGCAACGCCGCGUGAGUGAUGAAGGCCUUCGGGUCGUAAAACUCUGUCCUCAAGGAAGAUAAUGACGGUACUUGAGGAGGAAGCCCCGGCUAACUACGUGCCAGCAGCCGCGGUAAUACGUAGGGGGCUAGCGUUAUCCGGAUUUACUGGGCGUAAAGGGUGCGUAGGCGGUCUUUCAAGUCAGGAGUGAAAGGCUACGGCUCAACCGUAGUAAGCUCUUGAAACUGGGAGACUUGAGUGCAGGAGAGGAGAGUGGAAUUCCUAGUGUAGCGGUGAAAUGCGUAGAUAUUAGGAGGAACACCAGUUGCGAAGGCGGCUCUCUGGACUGUAACUGACGCUGAGGCACGAAAGCGUGGGGAGCAAACAGGAUUAGAUACCCUGGUAGUCCACGCUGUAAACGAUGAGUACUAGGUGUCGGGGGUUACCCCCUUCG
This 618-nucleotide ribosomal RNA is filed under the name uncultured bacterium. Its description in RNAcentral is "bacterial SSU rRNA". It matches the Rfam family "Bacterial small subunit ribosomal RNA", at positions 202 to 842 of the family's 1533-position model. The record is from RNAcentral.